AAUUUAAAAAAAUCAAAGAAUAGUUUAUAUGUAAAAAAUGAUAAUAUGGAUGACAAUAGAUUAUCACUAUUAAAAAAUUUAGAAAAAGAAACUGAAGUAAUUACACAAGCACCUGAUUGGAAUGAGAAACAGCCAUUACUGGAAAUAUCCAACUUAUAUGUUAUUGAAAUAGAGGGAGAGAAAGAAAUUUUACAUGGAGUAAAUUUAAUUAUUUAUUCUGGUGAAAGACAUGCUAUAAUGGGUAGAAAUGGUUCAGGUAAAUCAACUUUAGCAAAAGUUAUAGCUGGACAUCCUUAUUAUAAAGUCACUAAAGGUAGUAUGAAAUUUAAAGGCUUAAACUUGGAUACAUUACCUGUUAAUGUAAGAUCUUUAUGUGGUAUUUUUUUAGCAUUCCAAUACCCAAUAGAAUUGCCCAUGAUAAAAAAUAAUGAUUUUUUAAGAGCUGCAUUAAAUAGUCAUAGGAGACAAAGAAAUGAAACAGAAUUAAGUGCAAGUGAAUUUGAUUUAUUAAUGCUUGAAGAAAUAAAAAAAGUUGGUUUAUGUUCUGAGUUUUUAAACAGACCAGUUAAUUAUGGUUUUAGUGGAGGAGAAAAAAAAAGAAAUGAAAUUUUACAAAUGUUAAUUUUAAAACCAUCUUUUGCUAUUUUAGAUGAAACUGAUUCAGGUUUAGAUAUAGAUUCUUUUAAAUUAACAUCUAAUGUACUUGCAAAUUAUGCAAAUAAUAAUAAUUCAUUUUUGGUUGUAACCCAUUAUAAAAAACUGUUACAACUUUUAAAACCUAAUUAUAUUCAUAUAAUGCAUCAGGGUAAAAUUAUUGAAACAGGAAACUAUACGUUAGUUGAUAAAAUUGAGUCUAGUGGUUAUUCUCAAUUUUUUAGCAGUUAGCACUGUCCGUUUUAUUAUGCGUAGUCAUAAGCUCGCACAUACAUACGUACACAUAUAUAUACAUACGUACAUAUAUAUAUAUAUAUAUAUAAGAAGUAAAUAUUUUUAUUAUGUUUUCAUGUAUAUUGCGUUGUUUUGCGUUGUUUUGCGUUGUUUUACGUUGUUUUACGUUGUUUUGCGAUGUUUUACGUUGUUUUGCUUUAUUUUACUUUUGUCUACUAAUCCUCAAAUUAAAAUAAAAUAAUUAAAUUUUUAAUACUUUCA
This 1149-nucleotide long non-coding RNA is filed under the name Piliocolobus tephrosceles (Ugandan red Colobus). RNAcentral's name for it is "lncRNA (ENSPTEG00000011309.1)". Lineage: Eukaryota; Metazoa; Chordata; Mammalia; Primates; Cercopithecidae. The record is from RNAcentral.